Magnolia sinica is the source of this 1870-nucleotide long non-coding RNA. RefSeq lists it as uncharacterized. The record is from RefSeq and is a predicted model, not a curated record. The transcript is spliced from 4 exons. Lineage: Eukaryota; Viridiplantae; Streptophyta; Magnoliopsida; Magnoliales; Magnoliaceae.
GUCUAGUAAGCUUUUUGGUGCCCAAAUAUUUUUAUGAUAGGCCUUUCUUUAAAAGCAUAGAUUUUGUUUGGGUAAAGUAAUUAGGGCUGUCAACAGGUUGGGUCAUGUAGUAUACCUCACUACAAGAAAACCGGGUAUCGCCAAUGUUUGCAGGAGAUCCUUUGCCGGCAGGAGAUCCUUUGCUGGCACUAAUUAAAACUACAAGCUGGUAAAGUAUCCUUAUAAAUAAAAAUAAAAAUAAACCUACCCCUGUUUUCGACCAAUCUCUCCCGGCCCCCAACUCUCUCCCUCUCUCUCCCCUCCGUCAUGGCCGUGCCUUCUACUCCUCUACUCAAAGACGAGCUCAACAUCAUCAUCCCCACCAUCAGGAACUUGGAUUUCUUGGAGAUAUGGAAGCCUUUCUUCUAGCCAUACCAUCCGAUUAUCGUCCAAGAUGGAUAUAUGAUUUUUUUUUUCAAGGUCCCUGAGGGAUUUGACUACGAGCUCUAUAACCAUGAUGACAUCAAUCGGAUCUUAGGUCCCAAAGCGUCUUGCAUCUCCUUCAAGGACUCUCCACCAAUAGAAGAAUCUCCCAAUCUUCAAGAUCUGUUGAAGACUUGCACAUUUGUGUAAGGACAAUGGAUUUUUAAUCUUUUAGAGUUUAUUAACUACUCCCAAGAGCAGUUGAAGUUGGCAAAGCUAGGCCUUCUCUCCUUGUUCAGGAAUUUUGGAAAGCAUCCAUGUCAUAUAUGAAAUGCUGCAUGUAUCAAUCAAUGAUGCAAUUUUCAAGUUAUUUGCUCCCUCAUCCUUGAUAUCGUCUACAGUUUCUUCAUUAGUCAGAGAGAGAUGCUUAGUUACAUACUUGCCACAGAACUUAUGUUAUCCAUUUUCUCUUAUGCUGCAAGAAACAAUUGAAUGGAAACCUCCAUUUUUUGCUUUAUUUUUUUGGGGUUGUGUGGCUUGUUAGCCCUUCGGUUUUUUGAGACUGUUUGCCUGCUUGACGGAAUUUGUGUGGUUAAACACCUGAUUUUUGGUAAAGUUUUAGUUCCCAUUUCCUAUUAUUGUGGUAGAUUUGCAAGUGAGUGUAAAGUGUGCUUAAUAAUAAAAGUUUAGUUUUUAGCUUUGCUACAUACAUUUGUUGGUUGACUAGUGCAGUGCUUGUUCUCCGUGUUCUACAAUAAGUGUUCUAACUUGGUUUUUGAAGGGAUUAUUUUUCUUAAAAUUUGCAAUUACCUCUCUGUUAUAUGUGGUCUAUUUUAGCUACAAACUGAUAAUUGCUAGGUUCUCCUAAUUCUUUUGGUGACUUGGCCUUGAAAGAUGCUCUACUUCUUUUAGUGGAAAGACGAUUGAGCUCAUUGAUGUUACUUUCCAUCAAUGUAUGAUGACAAGGUUUAACUCGAAAAUGACUAUUAGUUUUGUGCCACCUGAUGGUGAAUUUGAAUUAAUGAAGUAAGCUUUUUAUUCCCUCACAAGGCUUAUUUUCCAGUGUACCCAUUUUUGUCCUUUGCCGAUUACUUCCGGCCGAAGUUUUUUCUUUUAGAAAACGUGAGGAAUUUUGUUUCUUUUAACAAAGGGCAGACAUUCUGAUUAACGCUUGCUUCACUUCUUGAAAUGGGUUAUCAGGUGAGAUUUGGUGUUCUAAAGGCUGGAGCAUUUGGUGUUUCUCAGUCUAGGAAACGAGCAUUCAUAUGGGUAGCUUCUCCAGAAGAGACACUCCCAGAGUGGCCAUAGCCAAUGCAUGUCUUUGCAGGCCCAUAACUGAAAAUCACAUUACCAGGGGAUGUACAAUAUGCUGCCGUCAGGAGUAUAGCUGGAGGGGCACCCUUCCUUGCAAUAACCGUGAGAGAUACAAUUGGAGAUCUCCCACCUAUUGGAAAUGGAGCAUCUAAAA